CACCAGUAGCAGUUAAGCUGCCAGCAUGAUCUUGUCUUCCUCUCUUAAGCUUCAUAUAUAACUAAGCUAAGGAAUAAUAUAAUUUUCUUGUUCUCAUAAGAAUAUAUGAUAAUAGCUUAGAGAGAGAGAGAGAGAGACUAGGUCAUGCUGGUAGUUUCACCUGCUAAUGAC
RNAcentral lists this microRNA precursor (171 nucleotides) under Brassica napus (rape). RNAcentral's name for it is "pre miRNA MIR167_1". It matches the Rfam family "MIR167 microRNA precursor family". Lineage: Eukaryota; Viridiplantae; Streptophyta; Magnoliopsida; Brassicales; Brassicaceae. The record is from RNAcentral.